UGUCAUUCACGGAGACCGCCGAACGGUGGAGGGGGGUUGCAGGUGGAGCGGGCCGGCAGGAUUUAGAUGCUGCCAGACCUGCUGAGCUUCGCCAGCAACUUUGUUUUUGUUCCUGAUUUGCAGCAUCCACAGUUCUUUUGGUUUUUAUUCAGGAUUGUCAGGAGUUUAAUUAACAUUCAAUAUUUGUAGUGACUCUGGGAGCAGUGGGACUUGAUUUCCACACAAGUUUCAGAUUGAAUUGUCAAUAUCCUGGAAAUACCCCAAGUUGAAAGUUUUUUGCCAUGAAGAGUGGUUACCUACCUGUGAAUAGGAGAACGCUAGACCAGUGACGGAGAAAACCACUUCACCACUUGUGAUGAGAAGGUAUUGGGGAAUCUGCCACGCCAUGUGGAAAGUGUUUGGUCCAAUUUCUUCAAUGUAAUUUAGUUUAAAAUUACCUGUGGAACACUUAACAGAGAAAACACUGUCAUAUAUGCGGGAAAAUAUGCAACAAAAUCACAACCUACAUUCAACAUACCCCAAAAGGAAAGGUCAGGAGUGAUGCAACACAGGAAGAAGACGCUACUCAGUCUCUCAAAACCAUUCUGUUUUUCCAAUAAGAUCAUAGCUGAUCUGUAUCUUAACUCCACCCAUCCCCACCAGCACCAUCCUACUACUGGUUUCAUAACCCUGAAUACCCUGCCCUAAUGAAAAUCUUCCUCAAUCUCAGUUUUGAAAUUUCAAUUGACCCCAAAAGCAAUUUGUCACAAGGAGAAUUCCAGAUUUCCACCACUCUUUGAGGAAGUACUUUCUGUUUCCUCCAUAGGAUGAAGCUGUUGUUGACAAAGUUGAUGUUUUUUUGCCCGUGUUCUUUGCCCAUAAUAAUGUGGUGUUUGAGCCACCUUUUCGAAGCAUUAAUCCCUUGAAUAAUCCACUCUAAUUACACGGUUCUGCCCCCUUGUUCUGGGCUUCCUCGCCAGAGAAAUAAUUUCUCUUUAUUAAACUCUAUUUAGUCUUUUAAUCAUCCUAAGCGUUCCAAUCACAUUGCCCAUUAAUGUUCUACGCGUAAAGGAAUACAGAUCAGUUCAUGCCUUUGUGACUUAGGCUUUUCAAUGCUGUUUUUAAUUCAUUAAUGGGAUCAGGACAUCACUGGCUAGGCAAAAUUUUUUAUUGUCCAUCUCUAAUUGCCCAGAGGGCAGUUCCAAGUUAACCACAUUGCUGUGGUCUGGAGUCACAUGUAGGCCAGACCAGUUAAGGAUGGCAGUUUCGUUCCCCGAAGGGCAUUAGUGAACCAUCCUCAGUAUAGAUGGAGGUAUAUUGUCAAAGUCAAUGAUCUUUUGCUCCUUUUCUAUUACGUGUGUGGGAUUUUACUUGCGAUACCCUCCCAAAUAUUGGCUCGAGUCCACAAUGCUUUCCUUAAAACUCUUUUUGGAGCUAACCCUUGAUUGAGGAUUACCUUCACUAGCGUGACUAAGGACUCCUGACAGCCAUAAUAAGCUACCUAGUUUUGUGUCUGCACUAGAUGGCAUGGCAAGACAACAGAACUGUGAGUCUGGUAGCUCUGGCUGAAGGUCAAGGUUCAGAUCAGGGAUGCUGUGAACAUCCAGGUAGGCUCCAAUGAGUGAACAUUAUGAUAGCAAGUAAACAGUCCAGAGAGUCACCCUGGUCCAGUCCAUGAGCUGGGAGCAUGCUCCUGAUCUUUCAGGGUCCUUGAUGUAGAAUUACAAUGGAAAUCGUCAUUGAAGUUUGAGGUACAACAUUCGAGUGGAGGAGUAAAUGCAUCAAAGAUGAGCCAUGAGGGGCCUGAGAGUCUGGCACAUAUCAGAUGCCUGUAUCUGCAGACAUUGGGUGAAUAUGGCCAGUGUCCAUGGGGCAUGACCUGAAAUGUUGGGGUCUAGUGUCCAAUUUGGAGAUCUUUUGGAGCAAGCAGUGAACUGGAGUUCUCAAGUAUCUGCUCUAACUUUCAUAUCAAGGGUACGUGAGGUGUCACUGCCCAUGGAGUGUGGUAGGAAAGAAAGCUGUAUAUCAAUGAGGGUAGAUUUUCAAUUCAUAAGCCAUAGUGCCCCUCUUAACAGAAAACUUGCUGCUGUCUUGUGUGACUCACGUCUCAACAUCCAGAACUUAGUUAAAAAAAUGGAACAACUUGCUCCCAAUGUUGAGAACCGCCUUGCUGGGAAUUUACUGGACUUCUCAGCAUAGUCCAUGUCACUAUAAGAUUCGGUCCUAUAUUUUUCAUUGGCUAAAAUGGGAUUUAAACGUCAUGAAGAAAGGCAUUGUCUGAAUUCCAGUUCAUUCCUUUAAAGAAUUUGACUUGUUUUAACUAAUUUAAAAGUAAUUGUUUUCUCUCCCCGUCUGUUUUAGUCAAUGAGGAAAUCUAUUCCCAGGUUUCUGCUGAAGUCAUCUUAUAAAUAAGCAAUAAUCUCUGAAGGUGAACUGUUUGUCACUGCAUUCUGUAUUUUCAAUAACACACUGGCAAGGCCAAUACCUCAAAAGAUGUGAUUUCUAUUUGUAAUGUGUUGUUUCAGUAUUACUGCACGAUCAGUUCACCUGUAUUGAGGUACAUUUUAGUUUAUAUACAAAAAACAAACAUAAAAGCUUUGUGCUCAAAACUGUUACAUUUCCAGAACACAAUUUUAAUACAAGCAGAUAUUUGACUAUUUAAAACAUCAAACCCUGCAUUUAUGUAGCACUUUUAAUGUAACUAAAUGUUCCAAGGUGUAUCGUAGGAGCAAAAUUGAACACCGAGCUGCAUCACAUGCUAUUAGGCCAUAGGAUUAAAAACUGAGCAAAGACGUAGUAAUUUAAACAAAUGAAGGGAAGAGGGAUUUUGGAGGGGGAUUCCAUAACUUUAGCAUUUGAUGGCACAGCAACCAAUCCAAUGUUGUGAUUAAAAUCAGAGGGCAGCAAAGAUUUGACAGAGUUGUAGGCUGAAAGAGGAUAUGGGGCUCGAAAGGAUGGUUUUUCUCUGGGGAAACGGUUUUACAAAUAAAAUUGAAAUGCCACAUGAAUGAGAACCAGCUUGUCACAAAUGAACUACUUACUGUUUCAUUAAUGAUGAUUGUAAAAGAGCUUCCAAAACCAAAUUCCUUUGAUGUUUGUUCACAUUUCGUUCCAUUAAUGAUGUAUGAGAUUCUUUUCCUAAGUGAGACAGAAACUUGAACAUGAAUAUUUUACAGUCAACAAAGUUUGGUUGCAUUAACCACACUUUGUUCUGAUUCUCACUUGCUACUUUGCUUUCCUUUCUCUCAUGUAUUGCCACUAAAUUUAUUGCAAUUUCUAGGGACAAUGGGAUUAAUUUAGAGAUCCCACACUUCCAGUAGGAAGCAGUUCUUAAAGAGGGAACACAUUCUGGACACAUUUUCAUUACUCUUACUCUCUACCUUCUACAUUAUCAUGAUCCCAGCUGAUAAUAAUCUUGAAUAGUUCAAAUUCCAGGUGAAACCAUCUUGAUAGGCCAUAAGAUUUACAUUUGCUUACCAUGGCAGUCAGUCACUUAGCAUAUUCAUAAAAGUCUGCCAAUCUACUUUUAAUAACAGCAGACAAAUCUAUUGCAUGAGGGAAAUAAGAAAAAAUUUAAGAUAUAAAUAUAUAUACAAAUUGGAAGGAUAUUCUGAUAAGCAGUCAAAAAGAAAGACCCAACACUUGUCCCAGCAAUUUCCUUUGGAGAUACUCACAACCGAUGAAUUAUCAUUCUCAUCUUGACACAAUGAUUUCUUACCGAACUGACAGGGUCACAUGUAUUUCUAUUGAACAACUUUCUGCACAUUCACCAGAUGUGAUCAUGUAUAGACAUAGGCGAACUCACUAACUUUUGUCUCUGAACUCUAAGUGGAAAUAUCAUGUUUUUUUUCUAGUUAGUUUGACCUGCUAAACAGGUCAUCUGCUGGUGGGGAUCUUUUCUAAGCUGAACCUGCUUCUCUCUUCUGGCCUCUCUUUCUCUGAGUGAUAAAAGCUCAAAGUAGUAAAUAUUUCAGCACAAACCGUAUCAGGAAGCUUCCAAUUGGCAAGCUCACUCUGAAUCCCAUGUAACCUAACUUUACUAACUGGUCUACCAUGUGGAACGUUGUCAAAGGCCUUACUAAAGUCCAAGUAAACAAUGUCAACUUCUCUGCCCUCAUCAAUCUUUUUGGCAACUUUCCUAAAAAACCCAGUCAAGUUUGUAAUACACAAUUUUCCUCACACAAAACCAUGCUGACUAUCCUUAAUCAAUUUUUACCUCUCUAAAUAUCCAUAAAUCCUAUCUUUUAUAAUCACCUUCAACAAAUUACCCACAAGUGAAGUCAGACUUGCAGGUCUAUAGUUCCCCAGUUCCUCCUUCCAAUCUUUUCUAAACAAAGGUACCACAUUAGCCACCCUCCAGUUGUUACGCACUUCACCCAUAGCUAUAGAUGAUGCAAAUAUUUCUACAAGGGGACUUGCAAUUUUCUCCCUUCCCACAAAAUUCUGGGAUAUGUUAGAUCAGGUCCCGAAGAUUUAUCUGCCUUUAUAUUCUCUAAGACCUCUCAAACUUCUUCUUCUGGAAUGUUAACUGUUUCUAAAACAUCAAAAUUUGUUACUCUGUAUUCUCUGGACUCCAUUUCUUUCUCCACAGUAAAAACUGGCACAAAAUAUUCAUUUAGCGUGUCUCCCAUCUCUUCAGGUUCAACACAAAGAAGGACCCCUUGAUCUUUAAGAUGUUCUACCCUCCCUCUAGUUACCAUUUUGCUCUUAAUGUAUUCAACUCAACCUCUGAUUCAAUUCCAUUAUUUUUCUGCUUAAACUACCAGGAGGUCCCAGGUAAAAUUAAAGAACAAUUCAAAUCAAAAUUAAACUACUUAAAAAUUACUUACACAUCUCAUAUUUUACAUGGCUGUGCCUUAUCCUGUGAUGUACUGAGAGGUAAUACUGUUGUUGUUAAUGUUCUGCAAUUCAACAGCAUUUCUUUCCAAAGUCUGUUUUUCUAUAGAGUAUGAAAGGCAUUACAACAUUUCCUGAAUUCAACCCAUCGGCUAAAUUGGACUAACUCCUCUAAUCAACCCAAAGUCAGUAACAGAACUAACAUUACAAUGGUAACCUUUGUUGCAGUUUAUGUGAUGGGGAUGGCGGAGGACAUACACAUCACCUGACUAUCUCAUUGCCCUGGGCUGUUUGAGUUCAGUACCCAAUGGGUUUAAACAGCUGUUAACUGAACAGGAAUUCUUUGUGGAUCAGGUCUACUGCAAGGAUGAGAGAUUGAAGGAAUUUUAUAAGGGUCAUUCACCCGUGUCUUGAUGGAUUGUGAGGUAACCGCCUGGGUCAGUGGCUUUAUAACAAUAAAAUGAUUAAAAGAGCUUAAUUGUACCUUUUUCCAUGGCAACAGAAAGAUUAGAAGGGAUUCAGAUGAUUUAUGAGUGACAUGAAUGAAGUAUAGAGAU
Stegostoma tigrinum is the source of this 5372-nucleotide long non-coding RNA. RefSeq lists it as uncharacterized. NCBI's taxonomy places the organism in Eukaryota, Metazoa, Chordata, Chondrichthyes, Orectolobiformes, Stegostomatidae. The record is from RefSeq and is a predicted model, not a curated record. The transcript has 3 exons.